Molecule: ribosomal RNA, 424 nt
Filed under: Fusobacteriota bacterium
Lineage: Bacteria; Fusobacteriati; Fusobacteriota
Description: Fusobacteria bacterium partial 16S ribosomal RNA
Rfam family: Bacterial small subunit ribosomal RNA
Source: RNAcentral
UGAGGAAUAUUGGUCAAUGGGCGAGAGCCUGAACCAGCCAAGUAGCGUGCAGGAUGACGGCCCUAUGGGUUGUAAACUGCUUUUAUGUGGGGAUAAAGUGCGUGACGUGUCAUGCAUUGCAGGUACCACAUGAAUAAGGACCGGCUAAUUCCGUGCCAGCAGCCGCGGUAAUACGGAAGGUCCGGGCGUUAUCCGGAUUUAUUGGGUUUAAAGGGAGCGUAGGCUGUCUAUUAAGCGUGUUGUGAAAUUUACCGGCUCAACCGGUGGCUUGCAGCGCGAACUGGUCGACUUGAGUAUGCAGGAAGUAGGCGGAAUUCAUGGCGUAGCGGUGAAAUGCUUAGAUAUCAUGACGAACUCCGAUUGCGCAGGCAGCUUACUGUAGCAUAACUGACGCUGAUGCUCGAAAGUGCGGGUAUCAAACAGG